This 470-nucleotide ribosomal RNA is filed under the name Enterococcus sp. oral taxon A43. RNAcentral describes it as "bacterial SSU rRNA". It matches the Rfam family "Bacterial small subunit ribosomal RNA", at positions 28 to 473 of the family's 1533-position model. The record is from RNAcentral. Lineage: Bacteria; Bacillati; Bacillota; Bacilli; Lactobacillales; Enterococcaceae.
GACGAACGCUGGCGGCGUGCCUAAUACAUGCAAGUCGAACGCUUCUUUUUCACCGAACUUCGGUUCAUCGAAAAAGAGGAGUGGCGAACGGGUGAGUAACACGUGGGUAACCUGCCCAUCAGAAGGGGAUAACACUUGGAAACAGGUGCUAAUACCGUAUAAUGCUUUUUCUCGCAUGAGAGCAAGCUGAAAGGCGCUUUUGCGUCACUGAUGGAUGGACCCGCGGUGCAUUAGCUAGUUGGUGAGGUAACGGCUCACCAAGGCCACGAUGCAUAGCCGACCUGAGAGGGUGAUCGGCCACACUGGGACUGAGACACGGCCCAGACUCCUACGGGAGGCAGCAGUAGGGAAUCUUCGGCAAUGGACGAAAGUCUGACCGAGCAACGCCGCGUGAGUGAAGAAGGUUUUCGGAUCGUAAAACUCUGUUGUUAGAGAAGAACAAGGAUGAGAGUAAAAUGUUCAUCCCUGAC